GACGGGGGGUCCUAGCGUUGCUCGGAAUUAUUGGGCGUAAAGGGAGCGUAGGCGGCUAUGUAAGUCAGGAGUGAAAUCCCUGGGCUCAACCCAGGACGUGCUUUUGAUACUGCAUAGCUUGAGUGUGGGAGAGGAUAGUAGAAUUCCUGGUGUAGUGGUGAAAUACGUAGAUAUCAGGAGGAAUACCAGUGGCGAAGGCGGCUAUCUGGCCUAACACUGACGCUGAGGCUCGAAAGCGUGGGGAUCAAAC
This 250-nucleotide ribosomal RNA is filed under the name uncultured bacterium. RNAcentral's name for it is "partial 16S ribosomal RNA". It matches the Rfam family "Bacterial small subunit ribosomal RNA", at positions 524 to 773 of the family's 1533-position model. The record is from RNAcentral.